ACCCGUCUUGAAACACGGACCAAGAAGUCUAUCUUGCGCGCAAGCCAAUGGGUGCUCGGGCCGUGCCUCCGGGGGCGGCUGGUAUUACUUUAAACCCACACGCUGAAGACAACUCGAUGAGUUAUCGCGGGAUUACGGGUUCGGCACCGGCGCAAGCCAUCGCCGUUCCCCUCCAUCCCGGGGUGUCCCGGCUAGGGGUGCUUGCACCCCGAGGGCAUCCCUUGAGUGCGUAUGAUGUGACCCGAAAGAUGGUGAACUAUGCCUGAUCAGGUCGAAGUCAGGGGAAACCCUGAUGGAGGACCGAAGCAAUUCUGACGUGCAAAUCGAUUGUCAGAGUUGGGCAUAGGGGCGAAAGACCAAUCGAACCAUCUAGUAGCUGGUUCCUUCCG
This 389-nucleotide ribosomal RNA is filed under the name Anopheles rivulorum. RNAcentral's name for it is "eukaryotic LSU rRNA". It matches the Rfam family "Eukaryotic large subunit ribosomal RNA", at positions 647 to 963 of the family's 3401-position model. The record is from RNAcentral. Lineage: Eukaryota; Metazoa; Arthropoda; Insecta; Diptera; Culicidae.